AAGCCCCAAGAGAAGUAGCAAAGCAAGGGAGAGUGUGGGAACACUAUAGAGUGAAGGUUGUGCUUCGAGGGUCCGGGCGACAGAAAGUGAAGCCGAAGAAGAAACGACUCCACGCCAGCUUUAAGAACAAUUGAGGUUGAGCAGGCGAUGGAAUGGAUCGGUGUUGAGCGGAUUUCCCUUUUGAUGUUUAUGUAAUGAAACCUUGAGUAUGCAUCUCCAUAUGCAUAACUCACACGUUUUUUCGCUGCAAACACUCUGACUUAUUUAUCAUUUCUACUUGAACUUAUUACUACUUCAUUUUAAUUAACUUUCAGUUGGGGUCUAGUCGUUAUGGCAGACUCAUUUGUGAAUUACCCAAGUGGUUAUAUAUAUAUACCACUAGUUUGUUAUUAA
Molecule: long non-coding RNA, 393 nt
Organism: Salvia miltiorrhiza (redroot sage)
Lineage: Eukaryota; Viridiplantae; Streptophyta; Magnoliopsida; Lamiales; Lamiaceae
Exons: 3
Source: RefSeq, a predicted model, not a curated record